UUUUAUUUUUCAUUUAACAAUUAUAGUGCGGUUUUACAAAUUUAAUGCUUGGUAAUGUUAACUAGCACGGAAAAUCAAACUAUUAUACAGCAAACACAUAGUGUGUAUCGACAUUGAUUAAAGGCCUGCGUCAUGGAAUCUAUUCUAAUGCCGUAAUCUUAAAUAAAAAUAAAGAUAAAAAUUGCUUCUUCACGCGGAUGUGGCCGCCCUCGCUAUUCUCUCCUAGGAAGGAAACACCAACUCCAACUCCAUCUUUAUAUAUAGGUAGAUGCUAGCGUAGCAACAACUCCAUCGUCCUCAACUGCUACAACCUAACCUCUCGUCAUCCUGAUAUCUUCCUUCUUUAAUAACUCCCAUCUGUGUGUGCUAGAGCUUGCCAAGAGUUUCCUUCAAACAUGAGUCAGAAUCAGGCUACAGUUGUGCUGCCUUGUGUUGUUGUUGUGCCUUGGACGCUUGCUUCUGAGGAUUGAUGGAGUUUCCUGCACCAUUGAUGUUUUAUUUGUGUUUUGUUCCUUGCAUAUAUGCUUUUCGGGGUUUUUAUUGUAAUAGAAUGUGACCAUGUGAUGUGGCUUGAUGAUUUCUGGGACCAUUUUGAUGUAAUAAAUUAUUUUUUCAUAUA
Molecule: long non-coding RNA, 619 nt
Organism: Populus trichocarpa (black cottonwood)
Lineage: Eukaryota; Viridiplantae; Streptophyta; Magnoliopsida; Malpighiales; Salicaceae
Exons: 2
Source: RefSeq, a predicted model, not a curated record